Molecule: ribosomal RNA, 382 nt
Filed under: Bacillus pumilus
Lineage: Bacteria; Bacillati; Bacillota; Bacilli; Caryophanales; Bacillaceae
Description: bacterial SSU rRNA
Rfam family: Bacterial small subunit ribosomal RNA
Source: RNAcentral
AAACCGGAGGAAGGUGGGGAUGACGUCAAAUCAUCAUGCCCCUUAUGACCUGGGCUACACACGUGCUACAAUGGACAGAACAAAGGGCUGCGAGACCGCAAGGUUUAGCCAAUCCCAUAAAUCUGUUCUCAGUUCGGAUCGCAGUCUGCAACUCGACUGCGUGAAGCUGGAAUCGCUAGUAAUCGCGGAUCAGCAUGCCGCGGUGAAUACGUUCCCGGGCCUUGUACACACCGCCCGUCACACCACGAGAGUUUGUAACACCCGAAGUCGGUGAGGUAACCUUUAUGGAGCCAGCCGCCGAAGGUGGGACAGAUGAUUGGGGUGAAGUCGUAACAAGGUAGCCGUAUCGGAAGGUGCGGCUGGAUCACCUCCUUUCUAAGGA